UGGAUCUCCAAGAGAUAUUGGCCAGAUGCAUUGAAUUCCACUGUUGCUAAACCAAUUAAGAUUAAAAUGGCUUUUUCCUACGGAAUGCAUCAGUCAUGCUGUUGUUGAUUACUGGUGUUUGACUGACUGGUUCGAAAAGGUAGUCUCACUUGGCCAGACUUACACACAGGCAUCGGAUGGGAACGAGACUUCUAGAAGGGUAACAAAGAGAGUACCCAGCUAGAGGACCCCCGGGCGGAGUGGAGGAAGGAGCAGGAGAGGAUGUUGAAGGAGUACCUGACAGUAGCCCAGGAUGCCCUGGUCACCCAGAAAGAGCUGUCCCAGGACGUUGCUAUUCCACCCAAAACUACGAUGGCAGUCAGUCACCAUCCCUGAAGUAUCCAUCAGCGGAGGCUGGCGAGGGGAGGACAGCUCAUAAUAAUGGCUGGAUUGAGCCAUCCUCUUCUCAGCAGCAUCCACUGGUAUCCAUUUAUCAAAUGUGACAGAAGAUAUGGAAGGAAAGUAGAAGCUUGAUUCCUGCCUCGGUCAGCAAAUCAGAUCAAAAGGUCGGGAAUGUCCCUGAUCUACCAAAUUGAGUUUGGAGAUAGUCGGAAAAAAUAAAAAGACAAAGAU
Oncorhynchus kisutch (coho salmon) is the source of this 612-nucleotide long non-coding RNA. RefSeq lists it as uncharacterized. The transcript is spliced from 4 exons. Lineage: Eukaryota; Metazoa; Chordata; Actinopteri; Salmoniformes; Salmonidae. The record is from RefSeq and is a predicted model, not a curated record.